RNAcentral lists this long non-coding RNA (331 nucleotides) under Nicotiana benthamiana. RNAcentral describes it as "long non-coding RNA (NBEN_LNC028480)". The record is from RNAcentral. Lineage: Eukaryota; Viridiplantae; Streptophyta; Magnoliopsida; Solanales; Solanaceae.
AAUGCUCUGUUUCUAUUUAGUAAUUGUUUUCACCUCUAGUACAGGAAGUCUGUAAAAGGUAUAUCAUGCUUCGGUGAAAUUAGAGCAAGUCAUGAGGAGGUACCUAAAAGAUCGAUCAUGAGGAGGUACCUAAAAGAUCGAUCAUGGUUGUGAAUAUAUGUUGGACCAAUAUAAUGUGUCUCGAACCUUAUGUUUACCCACGUAGGUCUAUCUUGUGUGGGGGAAAACCCUGGUUGCUUUCUGUCUUCGUUGAACUGUGUGUCUCUAUAUCAUUUCGAGAAAUAUACUGGGUGCGCCUCUUUUUUCCCCCGAAUGAUCAUUUAUUGUUGGG